UAGGGAAUCUUCCACAAUGGACGCAAGUCUGAUGGAGCAACGCCGCGUGAGUGAAGAAGGUUUUCGGAUCGUAAAGCUCUGUUGUUGGUGAAGAAGGAUAGGAGCAGUAACUGGUUUCUAUUUGACGGUAAUCAACCAGAAAGUCACGGCUAACUACGUGCCAGCAGCCGCGGUAAUACGUAGGUGGCAAGCGUUGUCCGGAUUUAUUGGGCGUAAAGCGAGCGCAGGCGGAAUGAUAAGUCUGAUGUGAAAGCCCACGGCUCAACCGUGGAACUGCAUCGGAAACUGUCAUUCUUGAGUGCAGAAGAGGAGAGUGGAACUCCAUGUGUAGCGGUGGAAUGCGUAGAUAUAUGGAAGAACACCAGUGGCGAAGGCGGCUCUCUGGUCUGCAACUGACGCUGAGGCUCGAAAGCAUGGGUAGCGAACAGGA
This 430-nucleotide ribosomal RNA is filed under the name uncultured bacterium. RNAcentral's name for it is "bacterial SSU rRNA". It matches the Rfam family "Bacterial small subunit ribosomal RNA", at positions 355 to 777 of the family's 1533-position model. The record is from RNAcentral.